Long non-coding RNA from Rosa rugosa (rugosa rose), 1449 nucleotides. RefSeq lists it as uncharacterized. NCBI's taxonomy places the organism in Eukaryota, Viridiplantae, Streptophyta, Magnoliopsida, Rosales, Rosaceae. The record is from RefSeq and is a predicted model, not a curated record. The transcript has 3 exons.
ACAGAAUUUUGGAUACUUAGAUUUACAAAAUUAGCUACUCAGAUUAAGACUUCUGCCACGCUUAUACACUGAGAAAAUUUAGAUACAUAUUGUAUUAUUCUAAAUAUCGCUCCCGUUCACCUGGUCAGCAGCUGAUCAGAGAUGAGAUCUGUCAACCGUCCGAUUCGGACGGUAAGUGAGCAAAUCAUUGAACGGGACUGUAUUCUAACUGUUCAUUGAGGCCGGAAAGGACGGUGCUGUCCUCAUUUUAUCUUUUUUUGCGGCUCUGCCAUUCACUCUCGCUUCCUCCCAAGUCCUUGGCUGCUCAGUCACACAGCGACGGCCAAUUCAUCUAUCCUUGGGUUUUUCAGCUAUACUUGAACCAUUGAAUCAACUUUUGUCGUCAGAGGUGAUCAACUUGGUAAUUCUCUUGCCUUUUCAAUUCGUAUGUGAACUGAUUAUUUAGUUGUAACACGUUUUAUCAAAAACAUUGAUCGAGCUUAUAGAAAUGUUCAUAUUCAAGAACACCUCUUUGGUCAAAAUUGUAGACAUGUUCACAUUGGUCGUGUUACCUGUUUUGAAACAUUGUCUCCAACAUUCUUUUUGUUAUGGUCUUCAAUUAAUUGAAUUACUUAGUGAAUCCGUUAUAGAGUCUAUAGGAAUGUAAAUCUGGUCUCAUUAUUUAACCAACAAUGUUUAAACAUUAAACAUUGGAGAUCAGGUCUCAUAGAGUCUGUAAUUAUUCAUGAUCAAUCAUUCCAUUUAUGCUUUGAUUUGUUUUUUUUUUUUUUACACUAUAAAUUCAUAUAAGCUCUCAUUAUAGACAUAGAAGAAUCAAUAGGCUAUUUUGCAUACCUCUUUGCAAUCAUCACUUAGCUCUUUGUAUCAAACUUCUAUUCGUUGUUUAGCAUCUGCUCUUCCCUUUUAAUCUUGGUCACAAACAAUUUGGGGCCAGCAAGAGUAAUUCCUUUUGAAUUUUUUCCCCCAGUUUUUUGUGAUUCACUGAAGCUUUAGAUAGUUGGUUUUUGUGGAUUUGUGGUUUAAUCACAGAUUCUUUUCAGCUGUUCAAAUUUGCGGUUUAUCGAUUUCCUAAGUUUUAGGCUUUCUUCUUUAGCAUUGUUUUGAUCGUUCAUUUGUCAAGGAGAGUUUCAAAUUGGAUUGGGGUUUGCAGAAGCCUGAAGGUUUCACCGAUUGCUUUUGAGCUUGAACCAGGUAACUAAUAGUUUGGAUCAACUCCAACUACAAUUGGAGCAACCACUUUUUUACACCUACUCCAGUUACGCUGGCUUAGAACUAAACCUUUUGUAAAGCUACAACUGAAGCUGCUAAACCUGUUGUACAACUACCAUUUCUGAACCAACCUCAGUAGCAACUUUGUUAACCUUUUUCUAACACACUUUCGUCACGUUAACCUUUUUGUAUAAAAAAUCUUUCACUCUUUCAAUAGAAUGCAAUAAUUUUCCUUUUGUA